This 200-nucleotide ribosomal RNA is filed under the name uncultured Glomeromycotina. RNAcentral describes it as "partial small subunit ribosomal RNA". It matches the Rfam family "Eukaryotic small subunit ribosomal RNA", at positions 591 to 798 of the family's 1831-position model. Lineage: Eukaryota; Fungi; Glomeromycota. The record is from RNAcentral.
CCAAUAGCGUAUAUUAAAGUUGCUGCAGUUAAAAAGCUCGUAGAUGAAUUUCGGGAUCAAUAUGUUGGUCGUGCCUUGGUACGUACUAGCUUAUUGAUUUCUCCCUUCUGAUGAACCAUGAUGUCAUUAAUUUGGUGUCAUGGGGAAUUAGGACUGUUACUUUGAAAAAAUUAAAGUGUUUAAAGCAGGCUCACGCUUGA